Non-coding RNA from Ceratotherium simum simum (southern white rhinoceros), 3847 nucleotides. The record is from RefSeq and is a predicted model, not a curated record. NCBI's taxonomy places the organism in Eukaryota, Metazoa, Chordata, Mammalia, Perissodactyla, Rhinocerotidae.
CUUUUUUUCCCCUCUCCGGCUGCUCUUCACCGCUUCAAAUGGGGCGAAACCUCUUACUUCCACCUCCGGGAGCCAUGUUGCCUCGUCUUCUUUGUGGUACACGCGCUCUAGCUGGAGGAGGGGGAGCGGGGCGGGGCGGAGAGGCAUCCUGGGAAUUGUUGUCUUCUCUACAGCCUCAGGAUACGGUCGUGGAACAAGAUUACCACCCCUGUCAGCCCUUGCGCUCACAGGGACACAAGUGGCGGGGGGUGCUGAUAUGUGUUUAGGAUUUGCACUCGAACUCCUUGCAUCCACCGAGUUGCUCAGGCUAUUUACUGCUUUUCCGAGGAAGAGGAGUUUGGGGGGAAGGAGUGAUGCAUCAUGGGAAAGGAAGUAGCAACGGAUUAAUUGAAUUCACCUAAAGUAUGCUAAAAUUCUCCAGAAGUGAGAAUUUUUCUUUCACGGGAAAAAAUAAUGUCUGUAGUUUUUAAUUAAUGAGAAAGUGAAGUGAACUUUUACAUAUGAAAAGUAAAAAUAAUAACCACCAACAUUUCUGUAGCAAUCCAUUUAACUUUUAGCUACAGUAAUUUUUUGAAGAAGAGUUGCUGGCUCCAGUUUAUGAAUAGUGAAACUUAUUUAUUUGCCCAAGGCAGUGAAGAGACAAAGUGAAAUUGAGUAUCCCUUAUCCUCAGGAUCUCUUUGGUCAAGGAGAUAAGCACCAACACAAAUUAAACUACAAGUUGUACUUUUCUGGUACUCACUGCUACAAUAUCCUGUGGUUAGGACUUUGUUUCCAAACCUCAUUGUGAAUCAAUCUGUCAGGGAGCUGUCACAAAAUAACCCCAAGGACUCCAAUUCCAGGCGUACAGAAUCAUAAUCCUUUGAAAAAUGUAUUUUCAACGUGCUCCUCAGUUGAUUCUGAUGUAGUACCUGUCUUCUGACUGGCUUUUAGGGCCCACUCUUUCAGGAGGGGGAGGGCAGAAAACAAGAUCUGUUCUGUUCUGUAACAGUGAGUAGUAGGCAGAUCUGGCUUGGAACUUAAUGGAAGGUGGGAGAUAAUAGCAGGCAGAGUUAGAAUGCAGAAGUGCAGAACCCAAGAGUAGGCAACAUGAAUGAAGACCGAGAACAGUCUAUUAGGACGCAAAAGCUGAAAAAGCUUCAAGCUCCAUAAAGGAAUUUAUCUUAGAAGAAUAGUGGAGAUAGAACAAGACAGAUUGGCAAAGAAUAAGUAGAUGGUGAAGCAGUGCACAUAGGUAACUCUUUUGAAAACAAGCAGUGAAAGGAGAGAGCAGUGGCUUGAAGGGAUGAAGGAUGGAAAGAAUAGAGGUUUUCUAGUAUAAUGGACACCUAUCACAUUGUCUGCUCAGCCCUCCUUUUCUAGGAACUGACCCUCCCCCCAUUCACAGAGUUCCAGCAAAAACUGUCAGAGAUGAGAGAUAAGGAGUCUUCAUUGUGUUUAAGUCCCAGGUUCUAGAUCAUUCCUGAGGCAUUCUUGUCCUUGGUUUCUCUGAGGCAACCCCAUAUCCAUAUUAUUACUAUUUUUGCUUAAGAUAGAGUUGGGUUAGAAACUACUUAUGACCAAAAAGUAUUAAUUCAAGAACUGGUACCAGAAAUGGAGUGUGGCAAAUUACAGACCCUAAAAUAUGGAACUGGCAGAGAUUGGAGAUCUCCCACGUCAGUUAAUGGGAAGUUGGCAUUCUAUGUUAUUUGGCAGUGAAGCAGUUGCUUAUUGCUUUUGAGACUCAAAACAGAGCAGCCCUUCUGCCUGUAUCAAGAGGUCUGCAAUUGCUGAGGGUCAGAUAUUCAUGGGCUUUGCUGACUUAUAGCAGUAGGACUCUUUCACUUCAAAUGUUUCACUGAUUAGGAAACUGGCAUCUAGGCAGUUGGAAUGAGGUUAUCUGUAUAAGCCUCCAUAGAAUUUCUUGUUCUCCAACUCCCGCAAAUGUGAUGUCUCCCUCUGUAAAUGCAUUCAGCUGAAAUGCAAGGAAGAGAGGGCAAGUGUAACAUUCCCAGAGCAGAUCAGAAAAGAGGCUUCACAGCCUUGAACUCAGCCUAUUAUUCCGUAUCCAAGCUCUGAAUUGGAGACCUUGAGCAGAAUGCCAGGGAGAAUAAGCCAAGUCCUUAGGUAGGGUGCUAAGAAAUAGAAGCUGCAACCAGAUGAGCCAGGUUAUUCUCUUUAGCAAAUCUAAAGAUUCAAAGAGCAUAACUUGACAAGAUUCUUGGCACUUGUUAUUAGCUUCUGAUUCUGAGUCCCCUCAAAUGAAAUCAGCAGACAGUCAAAUGAGGUUUUGAGGAAGUUGUAUCACUAGAAAAUCAUAUCUGGUGGAUAGGGACCAUGAGCCAGAGCAGUGAUUCUCAAAGUAUGGUCCCUGGACCAGUACAUCAGCAUCACUGAUGAACUGUUAAAAGUGUAAAUUCUUGGGCCUCACCCCAGACCUCCAGAAUCAGAAACUCUGGGGGUGGGGCCAGCAAUCUGUGGUUUAAGUCCAAGAUAAACUAAGUCCGACAGUUAAAGCAGUGAAAACAGAUUUUAUUCAGUAACUACUGUCAGUAGGGGAAAGAGCUGAGCUCCAUUCUGAUUUGUGCAGAGGUGACUGGGCCUUUUAAAGGGAGAAUGAGGAAAGAGGCAGAAGAGCAAGCGGGGGCUCAGUAAAGUCAGAGAAGUGAAAAACUACAAAGGGUUGGUCAGUGUAAAUGCAAUUAGGCAGCUGUGUCUGCUAGCUGGCAACUAUGGAAGAUAGGAUUCUAUCCUCCCACAGAUACUGGGAGACAGAGGCCCUAGCCUUCCUGAUGAUUACAUUUCAAAGGAAUGGUCCUUGAGAGAGACACUCCCGAGUUGUAGGAGAUACAUAUACAAAGGGAUAGGGGAAGAAUUCACAAUUGUAAGCCCUUUUUAGUAAAUGCUCUAAGAAAGGAGGUCAGGGGCCUAUGUCAGGUGUCAGCAAGAGCAAACUAUAAACUCUUCUGACAGCCCUGAGCUUUUCCAGAUGGGAACUGGGUCAUCCCAGGGAUUCGGCCUUAGGCAGCUAGAAGCCAUGCUAAAGUUAGGUCAAGACUGGUAGUACAGGCGUUUAAAUGGAAUGUUUGUGUCGAGAGUUUUUGCAGGUCUCACUAGCCCUCCAGGUGAUUCUAAUGCACUCUCAAGUUUGAGAAUCACUGUUCUUCUAGAGCGUUCCCUAGGCCCAAGUACAGACCGGUUAAGCAAGAAGGUGCGUCAAUAAAUUGACUCCCAUAAGUUUUUCUAUGCUCAUAAUUUAUUUCCUUUAUUACUAUCCAGGUGGAAAUGGUGCAUACUCAGGCCUGGUGGCUGAUAAUGGUGUGCCCCUCUCCUUUCCUAAAAGAAAGUUUUCAUUGUGGUUAAUCUAUCUUUACUAUUGCAUGUUAGAUCUAUUGGUGGCAGUUAAGUUGGUAAAAGGUUGCAGGAUCAAGGGGAGCCACAUUUAGAUUGUCACUGAACUAGAGGAGGAAGGGGGAUGUCCAUGCCAUGCCAUUGCUUCUGGAUGCAGUAGUUGCAUGUGACUUGCAGUUGUCCAUGGAUUAUAUUAGGUGUGGGCAUUUUUGGAAUUGUAGAUAUGGGGAAAAUGGCAUAUAUGUUUAUGGGGCUGUCAAGAGGAGGACUAUAGGUAAACAUCUAUUGUAUUAUCUCCCCAGCACCCCUUUUCUACCACCUUCUCUACCUUAAUCCUCCUGAUUGCAUCAGGAGCCAUCCUUUAUGUACCUUCCCAGAGAAUCUGGGAUUGAGCUGAAGGAGGAGAGAUGAAACAUCCUGGUUGCAUUCAAGCACCUGAUUUGUUCCUAAGGCCCAACUGCAUGAUCCUUGGGUUUUGUGAGACACUGCUAUCUUUAUAAUAAAUUCCUUUUUGCUUAA